GACGAACGCUGGCGGCGUGCCUAAUACAUGCAAGUCGAACGCAGUGGGGACGGGUGAGUAACACGUGGGUAACCUCCCAUCAGAGGGGAUAACACUUGGACACAGGUGCUAAACCGAUACUUGUGGAUGGACCCGCGGUUCAUUAGCUAGUUGGUGAGGUAACGGCUCACCAAGGCCACGAUGCAUAGGCGACCGGAGAGGGUGAUCGGCCACACUGGGACUGAGACACGGCCCAGACUCCUACGGGAGGCAGCAGUGGGGAAUCUUCCGCAAUGGACGAAAGUCUGACCGAGCAACGCCGCGUGAGUGAAGAAGGUUUUCGGAUCGUAAAGCUCUGUUGGUAGAGAAGCGGUAUCUACCCAGAAAGCAACGGCUAACUCCGUGCCAGCAGCCGCGGUAAUUC
RNAcentral lists this ribosomal RNA (403 nucleotides) under uncultured bacterium. Its description in RNAcentral is "partial 16S ribosomal RNA". It matches the Rfam family "Bacterial small subunit ribosomal RNA", at positions 28 to 526 of the family's 1533-position model. The record is from RNAcentral.